AGUCGAACGGCAGCACGGAGCUUGCUCUGGUGGCGAGUGGCGAACGGGUGAGUAAUAUAUCGGAACGUACCCUAGAGUGGGGGAUAACGUAGCGAAAGUUACGCUAAUACCGCAUACGAUCUAAGGAUGAAAGUGGGGGAUCGCAAGACCUCAUGCUCGUGGAGCGGCCGAUAUCUGAUUAGCUAGUUGGUAGGGUAAAAGCCUACCAAGGCAUCGAUCAGUAGCUGGUCUGAGAGGACGACCAGCCACACUGGAACUGAGACACGGUCCAGACUCCUACGGGAGGCAGCAGUGGGGAAUUUUGGACAAUGGGCGAAAGCCUGAUCCAGCAAUGCCGCGUGAGUGAAGAAGGCCUUCGGGUUGUAAAGCUCUUUUGUCAGGGAAGAAACGGUGAGAGCUAAUAUCUCUUGCUAAUGACGGUACCUGAAGAAUAAGCACCGGCUAACUACGUGCCAGCAGCCGCGGUAAUACGUAGGGUGCAAGCGUUAAUCGGAAUUACUGGGCGUAAAGCGUGCGCAGGCGGUUUUGUAAGUCUGAUGUGAAAUCCCCGGGCUCAACCUGGGAAUUGCAUUGGAGACUGCAAGGCUAGAAUCUGGCAGAGGGGGGUAGAAUUCCACGUGUAGCAGUGAAAUGCGUAGAUAUGUGGAGGAACACCGAUGGCGAANGCAGCCCCCUGGGUCAAGAUUGACGCUCAUGCACGAAAGCGUGGGGAGCAAACAGGAUUAGAUACCCUGGUAGUCCACGCCCUAAACGAUGUCUACUAGUUGUCGGGUCUUAAUUGACUUGGUAACGCAGCUAACGCGUGAAGUAGACCGCCUGGGGAGUACGGUCGCAAGAUUAAAACUCAAAGGAAUUGACGGGGACCCGCACAAGCGGUGGAUGAUGUGGAUUAAUUCGAUGCAACGCGAAAAACCUUACCUACCCUUGACAUGGCUGGAAUCCNNGAGAGAUNNNGGAGUGCUC
RNAcentral lists this ribosomal RNA (963 nucleotides) under uncultured bacterium. Its description in RNAcentral is "bacterial SSU rRNA". It matches the Rfam family "Bacterial small subunit ribosomal RNA", at positions 60 to 1019 of the family's 1533-position model. The record is from RNAcentral.